This 422-nucleotide ribosomal RNA is filed under the name uncultured soil bacterium. RNAcentral's name for it is "bacterial SSU rRNA". It matches the Rfam family "Bacterial small subunit ribosomal RNA", at positions 26 to 453 of the family's 1533-position model. The record is from RNAcentral.
AGGACGAACGCUGGCGGCGUGCUUAACACAUGCAAGUCGAGCGGUAAGGCCUUUCGGGGUACACGAGCGGCGAACGGGUGAGUAACACGUGGGUGAUCUGCCCUGCACUUCGGGAUAAGCCUGGGGAAACUGGGUCUAAUACCGGAUAUGACCUCCUAUCGCAUGGUGGGUGGUGGAAAGAUUUAUCGGUGCAGGAUGGGCCCGCGGCCUAUCAGCUUGUUGGUGGGGUAAUGGCCUACCAAGGCGACGACGGGUAGCCGACCUGGGAGGUGACCGGCCACACGUGGGACUGAGACACGGCCCAGACUCCUACGGAGGCAGCAGUGGGGAAUAUUGCACAAUGGGACGAAAGCCUGAUGCAGCGACGCCGCGUGAGGAUGACGGCCUUCGGGUUGUAAACCUCUUCAGCGAGGACGAAGCGA